CUGCUACCGGACGACGUGCUCGCCAACGUCCUCCGCCGUCUCGCGCCGCGCUGGCUUGUCGCGGCGCGGUGCGUCCGCAAGGCCUGGCGCCGCACCAUCGACGAGCGCCGUCUUCUCCGCGCGGACAAGCUCCCGCUCUCGCUCGCCGCCGGCAUCUUCAUCCAGUUUGACUAUCACGUGUUCCCCGAGUUCUUCGCCCGUCCCUCUUCCUCGGCUCAUGCGGCGGUCAACGCCAAGCUCGACUUCUUGCCUCGCCCCAGCUAUCCCUUUGGUGAGGUAGGCGACUUACUCUUCCAAGACUAUUUCGUUCAAGACCACUGCAAUGGGCUCCUCUUGACCUACCGGUACGUGGUUAACCCUGCCACACGAUGCUGGGAUCGUUUUACUCCACACCCGUACAGGACCCAUCCAAUGGGGGUCACCAAUUUAUCGAGGGAUUAUCUACCUUCGAUCGCGCCGUGUCGCCCCACUACUAGGUGUUAA
RNAcentral lists this ribosomal RNA (483 nucleotides) under Triticum aestivum (bread wheat). RNAcentral describes it as "partial small subunit ribosomal RNA". The record is from RNAcentral. Lineage: Eukaryota; Viridiplantae; Streptophyta; Magnoliopsida; Poales; Poaceae.